This 1164-nucleotide long non-coding RNA is filed under the name Dicentrarchus labrax (European seabass). RNAcentral's name for it is "lncRNA (ENSDLAG00005034634.1)". The record is from RNAcentral. Lineage: Eukaryota; Metazoa; Chordata; Actinopteri; Moronidae.
GUGGAAAUGAUAGUGAAUCACACACACCAUUGAUAAACAUGCAAAGUUCUUCUUAAAUUGUUGUACUCACAUAAUUCAGCUGGUUUCACACUUAUAGUCUGUAUUUCUUCCUCUUGGCUGCCUGGUUGGUUGGCAUCGUUUUGCCUCUUUUCUUCCCCUUGUGUCUCACCUGUCCCACCUUCUUCUUCAUCCAAACCUGCCUUCAGCUCUGCUGCACACAGGUAGAUUAGAUUAAAACAAGAGGGAUACACGGAUACAGUAUGCAGACACCUGCAUGUUUAUGAUUUCAGUGCUUGCACAUUAACAUGGGUGUGUCUGAAGCUACCAUCAUCUUCCAGCUGGGAGCAGUACUCCUUGUAUGGGGUGGGAGAAGAACAGAAAAAGUAACAGAAAUUGCAUUGCAUCAUGCCAAAACUGCAGUCUAUUAAUUACAACAGAUUCAUACAUUUACAAUGACAGUGAUUGCCGUGAGGAAGUCAGAUACCAUUGCCCAAUUCUGAGUGAUGGCGCAGGUGACGUUCAAAUGUAUUAUUAUGCAAAUUAGGUGCUGAAUAUUUAACACAUGCUCCACUGAUUUGUCGACACCUGUAUGGAAGUUCAAUGGACCACAUUCACAGCUUGUCAAAGCAUCAGCGACAGCCAGAAGCAAAGCAGAGGUUACUGCCAGAAAAAGGCACUUUACUUUAAGAGAAAGGGUGAUAGGAAAGUCUGUAAAAAACUUAAUGAACCUCUUCUGAUUUUAACCAUCUUGUGACAGAGUUUUAACACAGCUUACGUCAAAACAUUUUCAUAUUUAACACUCAUUUUAAGAAGAGAUUCCAUCUUAUUAGAGGAGAUGGUGAUUCACUUUUUUUUUUCAAAAUGGAAAAGAUCAAACCGUGUUACAGGACAACUGACCCAAUAAGCUGUUUGCGGCCUUAAUGAGCGAUGUAUGUUUAGGAAUGUUUGUAUAUUAAAGACUGUUUGUAUUUUCACUCUAAUAUGUCUGACCUGGCAUUGAUAGGCAGAGUCAUGAUCUCCUCCCCGACACCCUCAACAUCCACCACCAGCCCCAGCCUGUAUCUCUUGACCGUGUUGGAGCACAGCGUCACCUGUACAUGUAAUACACAUAUAUAUACAUACACAUAUACAGUAUGAGACCAAGGUUCAAAUGAUGCAGUGACU